RNAcentral lists this ribosomal RNA (461 nucleotides) under uncultured bacterium. Its description in RNAcentral is "SSU rRNA". It matches the Rfam family "Bacterial small subunit ribosomal RNA", at positions 26 to 521 of the family's 1533-position model. The record is from RNAcentral.
AGGAUGAACGUUGGCGGCGUGCCUAACACAUGCAAGUUGAGCGUCGCCCUGAAUUUAUUCAGGGUGUAGCAGCGGACGGCUGAGUAAUGCACAGGAACGUACCUCGAAGCGGGGGAUAGCCCAUCGAAAGAUGGGGUAAUACUGCAUGUGAUCGCAAGAUCAAAGCCGCAAGGCACUUUGAGAGCGGCCUGUGUCCUAUCAGGUAGUUGGUGGGGUAAAUGCCUACCAAGCCUAUGACGGGUAACUGGUCUGAGAGGAUGACCAGUCAGAUCGGGACUGAGACACGGCCCGAACUCCUACGGGAGGCAGCAGUUGGGAAUCUUGCGCAAUGGACGAAAGUCUGACGCAGCGACGCCGCGUGGAGGAUGAAGGCUCUAGGGUCGUAAACUCCUUUGCUAGGGAGUAAUUUUGAAAGUACCUAGCGAAUAAGCACCGGCUAACUCCGUGCCAGCAGCCGCGGU